UACGAAGGGUGCAAGCGUUACUCGGAAUUACUGGGCGUAAAGCGUGCGUAGGUGGUUCGUUAAGUCUGAUGUGAAAGCCCUGGGCUCAACCUGGGAAUGGCAUUGGAUACUGGCGAUCUAGAGUGCGGUAGAGGGCAGUGGAAUUCCCGGUGUAGCAGUGAAAUGCGUAGAGAUCGGGAGGAACAUCUGUGGCGAAGGCGACUGCCUGGACCAGCACUGACACUGAGGCACGAAAGCGAGGGGAGCAAACAGG
Molecule: ribosomal RNA, 253 nt
Filed under: uncultured bacterium
Lineage: Bacteria
Description: partial 16S ribosomal RNA
Rfam family: Bacterial small subunit ribosomal RNA
Source: RNAcentral